UGGGGGAGGUGGUGGAGGUGGGGUUAAGAUCAUUGGAGGGGGUUCUAGCGGGGGUGGUAGCUGUGGUGGUGGUGGCGGAGGAGGCUCCGGUGGAGUUAAGGUUAUAUCAUGUGGAAGCAGUGGAGGUGGUGGCGGCGGCGGCGGAGGUGGUGGUGUUAAAGUUAUAGGUGGAGGCUCCAGUGGGGGUGGUUCCAUUUGUGGAGGUGGAGGUGGUGGAGGAUCAAGUGGGAAAACCAUUAUCAUCAGUGGGGGAGGCAGUGGCGGCCAGCAGAGCUCCAGCUGCUGCAGUGGUGGAGGCAGCAGCGGUGGUGGCGGAGGAGGCCAGACCGUCGUCAUCCCUUGUGGUGGAAGCAGUGGUGGUGGUGGUGGUGGCGGCCAGCAAAGCUCUAGCUGCUGCAGUGGUGGAGGCAGCAGCGGUGGCGGCGGAGGAGGCCAGACCAUCAUUGUCCCUUGUGGUGGAAGCAGUGGUGGUGGCGGCGGCGGUGGCGGCCAGCAGAGCUCCAGCUGCUGCAGUGGUGGAGGCAGCAGCGGUGGUGGCGGAGGAGGCCAGACCAUCAUUGUCCCUUGUGGUGGAAGCAGUGGUGGUGGUGGCGGCGGCGGCCAGCAGAGCUCCAGCUGCUGCAGUGGUGGAGGGUCUGGCGGGGGCUCCAUGCAGAUGAAACAACCCUGCUGUCUCCCGCCUUCUAUGGGUCAAACAAAACAGGUUUGCCAGUGGCCACCCAGCCAGAAGUGAAAACCGAGGGGGGUCAGACUCCCAGGGGGUCAUUUCAUUCUACCUUAUGCGCUCACGUGGGGAAGGAAAAUAGGAGACCCGCGUGCUGGUUUGUUCCUGUGAUAUCAACCGUUGCACCUCUGCAUGUCGCAUGGCUUGUUCCCUAGAUUGCAACCACCCUCCUUGUCUUCCCUGUGUUUUGUUGGUUUGUUCUGCUAAUGCAUGAUCCAUGUGAUGUUCUCCUCCCAAAACUGUGAUUAUUUAUUCCUUUCUGGUGGAAGGGUAUGGAUAAGAUUCCCCCACCAGUUUCCUGCUUCUGUCUAAUGCAUGGGAG
RNAcentral lists this long non-coding RNA (1046 nucleotides) under Pogona vitticeps (central bearded dragon). RNAcentral's name for it is "lncRNA (ENSPVIG00000004110.1)". The record is from RNAcentral. Lineage: Eukaryota; Metazoa; Chordata; Lepidosauria; Squamata; Agamidae.